This is a long non-coding RNA of Bombyx mori (domestic silkworm), 672 nucleotides long. RefSeq lists it as uncharacterized. The transcript is spliced from 2 exons. Lineage: Eukaryota; Metazoa; Arthropoda; Insecta; Lepidoptera; Bombycidae. The record is from RefSeq and is a predicted model, not a curated record.
CAUUCAGUGAAGAGAAUAGUUCAGUUUUUCAUAAUUUAAUAAUACGAUUUACAAUAUUAAUUUAAAAAGAUGUCUAUGUGCUCCAGUAACCGCUGAACACCAGGUGGGCUGUGAGCUCGUCCACCGAUCUAAGCAAUAAAAAAAAAUCUAUCCGCCCGGACUCACAAGAGGCCCUACCACCAGCGGAAAACAAAGGUGCCUUUUUGUUGUAUCAAUUCGAAAUGGAGAAAAGAUUGCAAUACAAUUCGAAAAAUACUGUCAUAAAAGAUCGCUGAAAAAAGUAAGCAUUCGCUGCUGAUCUAGUUUCAACCUUCUGCGAUACGCAUUUAUGUGACAAAACGACAUGUACCUGAUGAUGGGUAGGUAUGUGGAACAGUGCGCGAGGUGCGUCUAGUCACCGCCGCUACCGGCAGCAUGGGUCCAGCGGAUGGCGCUCUCCUGCUCUCGCCUUCACGGAAACACUUCCUGUUUAUUUGUGUUGAGCCUGGCAGUACUCCGCGCUGUCCAAGCGGAACUCCAUCAAUGUCACCACAGAAGGGAUCUCCAGCUGCGAUCGAAAAACAAAACAAUUUUAAAUACAUUAAUCGAUGACUCCACUACACUGAUAGUUAGUUUAUAAUUAGUUUUUCGGAAUUCGGUCCCGUGUAUAUUUAAUAAAUUAAGAUAAAUCAA